UACGGAGGGUGCAAGCAUUAAUCGGAAUUAUUGGGCGUAAAGAGCGCGUAGGCGACGUAUCAAGUCUUUGAUGAAAUACUAAUGCUUAACAUUAGUGCUGUUGGAGAUACUGAUAAGUUAGAGGAUGGACGGAGAAAACGGAAUUUCACGUGUAGCGGUGAAAUGUGUAGAUAUGUGAAAGAACACCGGUGGCGAAAGCGGUUUUCUAGUUUAGACCUGACGCUGAGGCGCGAGAGCUAGGGGAGCAAACAGGAUUAGAUACCCGAGUA
This 269-nucleotide ribosomal RNA is filed under the name uncultured prokaryote. Its description in RNAcentral is "partial 16S ribosomal RNA". It matches the Rfam family "Bacterial small subunit ribosomal RNA", at positions 524 to 792 of the family's 1533-position model. The record is from RNAcentral.